CAAGAACUUUGCUGACCAGAUCAAAGCCCGAUGGGAAAGCUUUUGCCAAAAUGCGCUGUUCUUUGGAGUGUGGAACAAGUCAUUGAAGCCACCAGUGGGUCUGGAUAAAUCAGGACAAGCCAUUGCUUUGUUCAAGGCACUUCCUUCAAUGUUCCCUUCUCCAACGCCCCCACCCAAAAAGCUCGGACCAGCAUGUGAGGCACUGUUCCAUGUUCUUGAGCCAUCUGAGGACCCCAAUAUGUUUCUCCAGAGACGGCCCAUCACCAGUCCGGUCUUCCUGGU
This is a non-coding RNA of Doryrhamphus excisus (bluestripe pipefish), 282 nucleotides long. The record is from RefSeq and is a predicted model, not a curated record. NCBI's taxonomy places the organism in Eukaryota, Metazoa, Chordata, Actinopteri, Syngnathiformes, Syngnathidae.